Molecule: ribosomal RNA, 205 nt
Filed under: uncultured bacterium
Lineage: Bacteria
Description: partial 16S ribosomal RNA
Rfam family: Bacterial small subunit ribosomal RNA
Source: RNAcentral
UGUGUAGGCGGGUCGUUAAGUACCUUGUGAAAUCCCACGGCUCACCCGUGGAACGGCUGGGUAUACUGGCGAUCUUGGGCCAACUAGGGGCGACUGGAACAAGCGGUGGAGCGGUGAAAUGCGUAGAUAUCGCUUGGAACGCCGAAGGUGAAAACAGGUCGCUGGGGUUGUGCCGACGCCGAGACACGAAAGCCAGGGGAGCAAA